GCAGGGUAAGUGACCAAGGGGGUACAAAAGGGGCUGCUGAGCCCAGCUAUGGCUUCGGAUCUGAACCAGAGUCCUCCUCUCAGAUCAAAGGGUAAGAGUCUUUGGAUCUGUUGCCGUUUGAAGAACGUGAAGAGGGGCAUCAAAAAUCAUGGUGAAUUUAAAGAGCAAGGCUUACUACAGACACCUGGGAAGCAGUUCUCAAGGGACACUCUGGAUUCCAGAUCUCAAGUCUGCAAGAUUGUCCUUGGUCUACAGGACACUUGCUAAGAAACCUGUAAAAAGAUAAGAAGUAGGCGUGCCAGCACUCGGGAGGCAGAGGCAGGCGG
This 326-nucleotide long non-coding RNA is filed under the name Mus spicilegus (steppe mouse). Its description in RNAcentral is "lncRNA (ENSMSIG00000005320.1)". Lineage: Eukaryota; Metazoa; Chordata; Mammalia; Rodentia; Muridae. The record is from RNAcentral.